GACGAACGCUGGCGGCGUGCUUAACACAUGCAAGUCGAACGGAAAGGCCCUGCUUUUGUGGGGUGCUCGAGUGGCGAACGGGUGAGUAACACGUGAGUAACCUGCCCUUGACUUUGGGAUAACUUCAGGAAACUGGGGCUAAUACCGGAUCGGAGCUCCUGCUGCAUGGUGGGGGUUGGAAAUUUUCGGCGGUUGGGGAUGGACUCGCGGCUUAUCAGCUUGUUGGUGGGGUAGUUGCUUACCAAGGCUUUGACGGGUAGCCGGCCUGAGAAGGUGACCGGCGACAAUGGGACUGAGAUACGGCGCAGACUGCUACGGGAGGCAGCAGGGGGGAAUAUUGCACAAUGGGAGGAAGUGUGAUGCAGCAACGCCGGGUGCGGGAUGACGGCCUGCGGGUUGUAAACAGCUUUAGCCUGUGACGAAGCGGGAGUGACGGUAAUGGGUAAAGAAGCACCGGCUAACUACGUG
RNAcentral lists this ribosomal RNA (468 nucleotides) under uncultured bacterium. Its description in RNAcentral is "partial 16S ribosomal RNA". It matches the Rfam family "Bacterial small subunit ribosomal RNA", at positions 28 to 507 of the family's 1533-position model. The record is from RNAcentral.